This 73-nucleotide transfer RNA is filed under the name Leifsonia sp. Leaf264. RNAcentral's name for it is "tRNA-Gln". It matches the Rfam family "tRNA". Rfam says of the family: Transfer RNA (tRNA) molecules are approximately 80 nucleotides in length. Their secondary structure includes four short double-helical elements and three loops (D, anti-codon, and T loops). Lineage: Bacteria; Bacillati; Actinomycetota; Actinomycetes; Micrococcales; Microbacteriaceae. The record is from RNAcentral.
UCCCCCGUGGUGUAGCGGUAGCACGGCAGCCUUUGGAGCUGUUCAGGCCUUGGUUCGAAUCCAGGCGGGGGAG